This 217-nucleotide long non-coding RNA is filed under the name Elaeis guineensis (African oil palm). RNAcentral describes it as "long non-coding RNA (EGUI_LNC081357)". The record is from RNAcentral. Lineage: Eukaryota; Viridiplantae; Streptophyta; Magnoliopsida; Arecales; Arecaceae.
CUUCUCUUGGCAGAGCUCGAAGCCCUUGAUGAAGGCAUCCUGGCCGAACUGGACCUGCAGAUCCUCCAUCUCAGAGGAGGUCUUGAACUCCUCCACUGCUCGGGCCCCUGCCUCCGAGACUAGGGAUGGGAUCUGUGCCUUCAGCUCGGAGACCUGCACCUUCAGUUCGAAGACCUCGGCCUCUGCCUUCUUUCUUUCCUUCUCCAAGGUGGCCCUA